This is a long non-coding RNA of Wasmannia auropunctata (little fire ant), 430 nucleotides long. RefSeq lists it as uncharacterized. The record is from RefSeq and is a predicted model, not a curated record. Lineage: Eukaryota; Metazoa; Arthropoda; Insecta; Hymenoptera; Formicidae. The transcript is spliced from 2 exons.
AAGGAAUUUGCAAGUUUAAACUUUGGAUUGUAUAACAAAGUGCAUAAAUCAUUAUUAAAAUGUACAAAUUUACUCUACUGAUGUUGAUGACCGUUAUCAUCGCAUUGACCGUUUUAAUUGAAGGAACACUUGCAUGUAAAAACGGUGAAAUGCUGGUCAUCAAAUGCUUAUCAACUUGUCUUUGCGUGAAUAAUAAUUGGCAAUGCAGAUCGACGCCGUGUCCCUGGCCUUGAGUUACAUGAAACUGUAAAAGGAUUUCUACUUAUCUGCUACGACGGCUGCAGAUAACAUUAUAUUUACUUUAGAUUUCCGUAGUUCCGUUACUUUAUUUUAGCAAAGUAAUCCCGGGGGGAUCAAUAUAUUGUCAAGAUUCAAAAAAGAUUCAUCGAGAAGAUGCAAUAAACACAAAAAUUUUUCUUCUUUCGAGAGA